GCAUCGAUGAAGAACGCAGCGAAAUGCGAUAAGUAAUGUGAAUUGCAGAAUUCAGUGAAUCAUCGAAUCUUUGAACGCACCUUGCGCUCCUUGGUAUUCCGAGGAGCAUGCCUGUUUGAGUGUCAUGAAAUCUUCAAUCUACAAACUUCUUAUGGGGUUUGUAGGCU
This 167-nucleotide ribosomal RNA is filed under the name Ganoderma applanatum. Its description in RNAcentral is "5.8S ribosomal RNA". The stretch from base 1 to 125 matches the Rfam family "5.8S ribosomal RNA", at positions 30 to 154 of the family's 154-position model. Rfam says of the family: 5.8S ribosomal RNA (5.8S rRNA) is a component of the large subunit of the eukaryotic ribosome. It is transcribed by RNA polymerase I as part of the 45S precursor that also contains 18S and 28S rRNA. Lineage: Eukaryota; Fungi; Basidiomycota; Agaricomycetes; Polyporales; Polyporaceae. The record is from RNAcentral.